RNAcentral lists this ribosomal RNA (473 nucleotides) under soil isolate KBS-LC1. RNAcentral describes it as "bacterial SSU rRNA". It matches the Rfam family "Bacterial small subunit ribosomal RNA", at positions 32 to 502 of the family's 1533-position model. The record is from RNAcentral.
AACGCUGGCGGCMUGCCUUACACAUGCAAGUCGAACGGUAACAGGUCUUCGGAUGCUGACGAGUGGCGAACGGGUGAGUAAUACAUCGGAACGUGCCCAGACGUGGGGGAUAACGAGGCGAAAGCUUUGCUAAUACCGCAUACGAUCUAAGGAUGAAAGCAGGGGACCGCAAGGCCUUGCGCGUUUGGAGCGGCCGAUGGCAGAUUAGGUAGUUGGUGGGAUAAAAGCUUACCAAGCCGACGAUCUGUAGCUGGUCUGAGAGGACGACCAGCCACACUGGGACUGAGACACGGCCCAGACUCCUACGGGAGGCAGCAGUGGGGAAUUUUGGACAAUGGGCGAAAGCCUGAUCCAGCAAUGCCGCGUGCAGGAUGAAGGCCUUCGGGUUGUAAACUGCUUUUGUACGGAACGAAAAGGCUCUGGCUAAUACCUGGGGCUCAUGACGGUACCGUAAGAAUAAGCACCGAGUCACC